AUUGGUAACGAUAGCUUAGGUGGUACACCUCUUCCCAUACCGAACAGAGAAGUUAAGACCUAACACGCCGAAGAUAGUAUAUGCGAAAAUAGGUAGUUGCCAAUU
Molecule: ribosomal RNA, 105 nt
Filed under: Bacilli bacterium
Lineage: Bacteria; Bacillati; Bacillota; Bacilli
Source: RNAcentral